AAGGGUAUUUUUUUACCCUAAAGUAUUUAAAGUUAUGUACUUGAAAUUUGAAGAAUUUGGCGGUGAUUUAGUCUUGUCAGAGGAACCUGUUUUUGAAUCGAUACACCACGAAGAAUCUUACUUAAGCUUGUAAAGGCAGUAUGUAUACCAUCAUUAUUAGGUAAUUUUUAUAGAAUAAAUUACUGAACGAUAAUUAUUAACAAUAUUAAAUAUAUUAGAUCAAGGUGCAGCUAAUGCUUAAGUUAAAAUGGGUUACAAUAAAAAUUUAUUUAAUACGGAAUAUUAAUUCAAAUAAUUAAUUAGAAGGAGGAUUUGAUUGUAAAUUAAAUUUAAUAUGUUUAGUUAGAUAUAAGCUCUAAAUCAUGUACACACCGCCCGUCACCCAACAAAAG
This 392-nucleotide ribosomal RNA is filed under the name Scylla tranquebarica (purple mud crab). RNAcentral's name for it is "partial 12S ribosomal RNA". Lineage: Eukaryota; Metazoa; Arthropoda; Malacostraca; Decapoda; Portunidae. The record is from RNAcentral.